Molecule: ribosomal RNA, 620 nt
Filed under: uncultured bacterium
Lineage: Bacteria
Description: bacterial SSU rRNA
Rfam family: Bacterial small subunit ribosomal RNA
Source: RNAcentral
CCUACGGGAGGCAGCAGUGGGGAAUUUUGGACAAUGGGGGCAACCCUGAUCCAGCCAUUCCGCGUGAGUGAAGAAGGCCUUCGGGUUGUAAAGCUCUUUCGCAAGGGAAGAAAACUUAUGAUCGAAUAAAUCAUGAGGUUGACGGUACCUUGAUAAGAAGCACCGGCUAACUACGUGCCAGCAGCCGCGGUAAUACGUAGGGUGCGAGCGUUAAUCGGAAUUACUGGGCGUAAAGCGUGCGCAGGCGGUUUUGUAAGUCGGAUGUGAAAUCCCCGGGCUCAACCUGGGAACUGCGUUCGAAACUGCAAGGCUAGAGUGUGUCAGAGGGGGGUAGAAUUCCACGUGUAGCAGUGAAAUGCGUAGAGAUGUGGAGGAAUACCAAUGGCGAAGGCAGCCCCCUGGGAUAACACUGACGCUCACGCACGAAAGCGUGGGGAGCAAACAGGAUUAGAUACCCUGGUAGUCCACGCCCUAAACGAUGUCAACUAGUUGUUGGUAGAGUAAAAUCUAUGAGUAACGUAGCUAACGCGUGAAGUUGACCGCCUGGGGAGUACGGUCGCAAGNUUAAAACUCAAAGGAAUUGACCGGNUGAGACGNGCGAGACGACGACGAGGGAGAGG